RNAcentral lists this transfer RNA (113 nucleotides) under Candidatus Aenigmatarchaeota archaeon. RNAcentral describes it as "tRNA-Glu". Lineage: Archaea; Nanobdellati; Candidatus Aenigmatarchaeota. The record is from RNAcentral.
GCUCCCAUAGUCUAGACCGGCCAAGCUUCCCGCCCUUGCGGGGCAGGAAGAAGCCGAGAGGAUCCCGCCCUUUCAAGGCGGUGACUCGGGUUCAAAUCCCGAUGGGAGCACCA